AGCCCGGCUGGACCCCGCUGCUUAACGGGGGGUCCUGCGGCAAAGAAAGUGGACGGGUUGCCACUUCUGUGCCUCCCCAUCAGGGGUUGGGAAACUAGUUUCCAUGGCCAAACCUAGCCCACCGUCUGUUUUGGUGUCCAUGGAUUGGCGGGGACAGCUCUGCUUAAGGAUGUAGUAGCUCUGCAGGUUGGCUAGUUUCCUGUUCUUCCCAACCUGCGCUAUGGACUUCAUCAGAUUUCAGCAUCAGAGAGAAUAUGGAAGGACAUCGACCCUAACUUCAUCCAGUGAGGAUUUCCACACACCAUACACUCUCUGAGAGUUCUCUUGGCUUUGUGUGCACACCUCCAGUGACAGGGAGCUCGCUAUGUCAUGAGGCAGCCUGCUCCCUUGUGGCUAUCACUGAACCAACUAUUAAGCCUUCUUAUACAAACAGUCCCUGACUUACUGUUAGACUUACAACUUUUUGAUUUUACAGUGGUGCAAAAGCAAUAUGCAUUCCAUAGAAACUGUAUUUCAAAUUUUGAAUUUUGAUCUUUUCCAGGCUAGCAACAUAUGAAGACCAACCUUCUAUUUUUAAAAUAGGCUUUGUGUUAGAUGCUUUUGCCCAACUAUAGGUUAAUGUAAAUGUUCUGAGAAUAUUUGAGGAAGGCUAGGCUAAACUGUGAUCUUUGGGAGCUUAGAUAUGUUAAGUGCAUUUUCAACUUACAAUAUUUUCAACUUACGAUGAGUUUAUUGGGAUGAAGCCCGUUGUAAGUAAAGGAGCAUCUGCAUUAAGCUAAAAUCCAUGUCUAUAACUUCCUCAGUAAUAUCAAGUUUGUUCCUUGGAGCCAGAGAAUAAACUGAAUCCUUUUCCAC
This 855-nucleotide long non-coding RNA is filed under the name Homo sapiens (human). Its description in RNAcentral is "HSALNT0351635". Lineage: Eukaryota; Metazoa; Chordata; Mammalia; Primates; Hominidae. The record is from RNAcentral.